This 372-nucleotide unclassified non-coding RNA is filed under the name uncultured Flavobacteriaceae bacterium. Its description in RNAcentral is "contains 16S-23S intergenic spacer region". The record is from RNAcentral. Lineage: Bacteria; Pseudomonadati; Bacteroidota; Flavobacteriia; Flavobacteriales; Flavobacteriaceae.
UCACAGUUUACACUGGCAGUCUUGCUAGAGUUCCCACCAUUACGUGCUGGCAACUAACAACAGGGGUUGCGCUCGUUAUAGGACUUAACCUGACACCUCACGGCACGAGCUGACGACAACCAUGCAGCACCUUGUAUUUUGUCUUGCGAAAGCCUAGUUUCCUAAGCGGUCAAAAUACAUUUAAGCCCUGGUAAGGUUCCUCGCGUAUCAUCGAAUUAAACCACAUGCUCCACCGCUUGUGCGGGCCCCCGUCAAUUCCUUUGAGUUUCAGGCUUGCGCCCGUACUCCCCAGGUGGGAUACUUAUCACUUUCGCUUAGCCACUCAGAAUUGCUCCCGAACAGCUAGUAUCCAUCGUUUACGGCGUGGACUAC